AGAGUUUGAUCCUGGCUCAGGACGAACGCUGGCGGCGUGCUUAACACAUGCAAGUCGAACGAUGAACCACUUCGGUGGGGAUUAGUGGCGAACGGGUGAGUAACACGUGGGCAAUCUGCCCUUCACUCUGGGACAAGCCCUGGAAACGGGGUCUAAUACCGGAUAUCACUGCCGCAGGCAUCUGCGGUGGUUGAAAGCUCCGGCGGUGAAGGAUGAGCCCGCGGCCUAUCAGCUUGUUGGUGAGGUAACGGCUCACCAAGGCGACGACGGGUAGCCGGCCUGAGAGGGCGACCGGCCACACUGGGACUGAGACACGGCCCAGACUCCUACGGGAGGCAGCAGUGGGGAAUAUUGCACAAUGGGCGCAAGCCUGAUGCAGCGACGCCGCGUGAGGGAUGACGGCCUUCGGGUUGUAAACCUCUUUCAGCAGGGAAGAAGCGCAAGUGACGGUACCUGCAGAAGAAGCGCCGGCUAACUACGUGCCAGCCGCCGCGGUAAUAC
Molecule: ribosomal RNA, 501 nt
Filed under: uncultured bacterium
Lineage: Bacteria
Description: bacterial SSU rRNA
Rfam family: Bacterial small subunit ribosomal RNA
Source: RNAcentral